RNAcentral lists this ribosomal RNA (465 nucleotides) under uncultured bacterium. RNAcentral's name for it is "partial 16S ribosomal RNA". It matches the Rfam family "Bacterial small subunit ribosomal RNA", at positions 28 to 507 of the family's 1533-position model. The record is from RNAcentral.
GACGAACGCUGGCGGCGUGCUUAACACAUGCAAGUCGAACGGAAAGGCCCUGCUUGCAGGGUACUCGAGUGGCGAACGGGUGAGUAACACGUGGGUGAUCUGCCCUGCACUUCGGGAUAAGCCUGGGAAACUGGGUCUAAUACCUGAUAGGAGCCAUUUUUAGUGUGAUGGUUGGAAAGUUUUUUCGGUGUAGGAUGAGCUCGCGGCCUAUCAGCUUGUUGGUGGGGUAAUGGCCUACCAAGGCGGCGACGGGUAGCCGGCCUGAGAGGGUGGACGGCCACAUUGGGACUGAGAUACGGCCCAGACGCCGACGGGAGGCAGCAGUGGGGAAGAUUGCACAAUGGGCGCAAGCCUGAUGCAGAGACGCCGCGUGGGGGAGGACGGCCUUCGGGUUGUAAACUCCUUUCGCUAGGGACGAAGCUUUUUGUGACGGUACCUAGAGAAGAAGCACCGGCUAACUACGUG